This is a long non-coding RNA of Oryctolagus cuniculus (rabbit), 14983 nucleotides long. RefSeq lists it as uncharacterized. NCBI's taxonomy places the organism in Eukaryota, Metazoa, Chordata, Mammalia, Lagomorpha, Leporidae. The record is from RefSeq and is a predicted model, not a curated record.
UUCCAGGCCGAUUUCCAUAUGAAAGCAACUGAGAUCUCUCCCCAUUUUGGAAUUCCAGGCAGCACCCUGGGCUCCGACUUCUCAAAAUUACACAGCCCAACUUUCCCAACCCCCACAUCCCAGCCUGCUGCAACCUCCUCCACUCUGCUUCUUGGCCACUCGAUUUCCAGCCCUACCAGAACAGGACCAUGGCCACAAGAGAGCUGCGGUGAACUCAGCCCAAGAGCAACCGCUUCCUGUUUCUCCGAGGCCUGUGAUGUCCCCGAGAAACAGCCUGGCCAUCACUGCCGACACAGCCCUAAGCAGAAACACAUGUGCACGCCUCUGCCUCAGAAUCCAGUGGCCUUAAGGAAAUGGAUCUCUGUGGAAGACUGAAGGAAGAAAAACUGAAUCAGCUGCACACCGCUUGCCGUGAAGACACGUUAUUGUCCUGCAUCUGGCCUGGGUAAUGAAUUCAUACACAGAUGGGUGACAACAAGGAAGAAGAGUUUAAGUAUUUCGACAGUGUUAAUAUUGAUCACAGAAUAGAUUAAGAGACAGCCGGGAGGAAUUUCUUCACGGGAUCAAAUUCUCCCUCUUCCCCCAGCACCCCGGAGACAGCCAGCAGCCAUAGACACCAGCAUUUAUCAAUGCAACAAUUUCGACUCUCGAGCAGAAAGCCUCCCAUCUCAGAGAUUUUGCAUCCAACAAAUCACUGCAUUUUGUCCUUAAAUUCAACAUUUUGGCAGGAUUGUUGGACUGUGGGAUAAGGAGAUGAAGAAUUUUCAAGCCAGGAUUUCCCACCCCCAGCUGCUGCACACUGAACUGCGUUGUCCACGGAGAGGUGGUGAUGAUUAAUCACGUCCAGUUCCCGGGGACCCACUCUGCCCAUCCCCCUCCCUUCCCAUUCACUCCCCCUCUCCUAGGCUUCUAUGACAGUGAGAAUGAUUUACUGACUAGUUGAGGAUAACAGAUUUCAGGUCUUAGGUCCAAUCUGCUUUAGUGUCUUUUAAAUAAACAGACCUGGCCUUGCCUUGGGCACUCACACCAUUGCCUUUUCCGAGGCCUUUAUCCAGAAUGGUUUGUCUCAGUUCCCAGACCUUUUUUACUUCGCUUGGUCCCCGAUCCUACAGCCUUAAUGCUGUGACCUAGUUCAUGGACUUGCUUCCCUCACUCUGACCUCUGACUUCCCUUCUCAGCCACCACUCUCCCGUGUCCUGUUGGACAUUUUGUUUGGAGGCUCAGGGGAAAUGCCCUGCUGGGUUCUCAUUGGUUGCAGGGCUGGAACCCCAACUCCCAGCCAGCUUUGGCUGUGCUCUGAGAAUUGCUAACAAACAAGGAGGAAGAGGGCUGUGGUUUGCUGAGGAUCUACGGCAUGCCAAGUGCUGUGCCAAGGAGCUUUAUAUAUGUUACCUGAUCCUCACAGCAGUUAAGCAGCACGGCCCCCAAUGAGCCUUUGCAGCAGCUGAAGCUAACAGAGUUGAAAGAACUUGCCCAAGGUCACUCAGCACAGGUGGUGGAGGGACUAGUAAAAGCACACAUCUACCUGCUUUCUGUUGUCUGGCUUUGCCCUAUAAUCUUAAUCUCAAUCAUAGCAGCAUCUCCUAAGCAUUUACAUCUGUUAAACUUUGUGCCAAAUCAAUUGUAUAGAGGGAGUGCCAAACAUACAUGAAAAAUUGGAAUUAAAAGAUGAAUGCAUUUUGGUGCAAAAUUUUUAGUCUAUGCCUAGGUUUUUCAUAAUAUGCAUUUUUCAAAAACUUUUUAAAAAAGAGAUUUCUUUAUUUGAACAGCAAAGUGAGAGACAGAGAGAGAGAGAGAGAGAGAGAUCUUCAAUCUGCUGGUUCAUUUUCCAAAUGGUGGCAACAGCCAGGAGUUGGCUAGGCUGAAGCCAAGAGCCUGGGACUCUACCUUGGUCUCCUACAUGGUGGCAGGGGCAUCUUCCGCUGCCUUUCCCAAGCACAUUUGAUUUGCAGGGAUCUGAGCUUGAGCUGGGUCUUGAAUCAGCACCCAGAUAUGAAAUUGCCAGCAUUGCAAGCAGAGGUUUAAUGUGCUGCACCACAAUGCCUGCCCUCCAUGGACUUCUGGAAAAUUCUUCUAGGCAAGGAUUUCAAAAAUUUUUUGUGCCCACAGAAACUUUUCUUUUAGUCCUAUUUUCCACAAACUUAUUUUGAAGCACUCUUGUAUUAUUUUCUUACACUUCAAAACACUGAGAUUAAUUCACCUACCAAAAAAAUCUACCCUUUAAAAAAAAUUCAGUGUUUUUUUAAAAAAUGCAUCCACAUAGUUCUGCAACCAUUGCCAUUACAUUCCAGAAUAUUUCCUUUGUCCUCCUAGAAAGCUACAUUAUCCAUCACCAGUCACUCACAACUUCCUUCUCCCCAGUCCCUGACAACCUCUUGUCCUCUUGCUGUCUCUAUGGUUUGCUUAUUCUGAACAUUUCCUACAAAUGGAAUCAAACAACGUGUGUCCUGUUGUAUCUGGCUUCUUUCCGUUAGCAUGGUGUUCUCAAGCAGUAGCAUGUCUCGGUAUUUCAUUCUAAACUGAUUCACGGACAGAUUAAAGGAACUUUAGGUCAUGUCCUAGGAAAGGUCCCCAAAUACAAUCUCUUUGCAUUUGUUUUUCAAUUUAAGUUGCUUACUGGCCAUCCUAUAUAGGACAGGACCUUUCACCAAAGGAUGAAAGAUCUCUCUCUCUCUCUCUCUCUCUCUCUGACACACUCUCUCAAAUACAUAAAAAUGAAUAAAUGAACAUGGGAUAGAGGGGAAAGCAUGAUGCGAGGCACAUCCCACCAGGUUUCCCCCUAGGCCGUGGUCACCCAUAAGGUCUCACUGGUCUCCAUUUCAAAACCCUGCCUCUCAGCCUAGCUCCAGAAGGCUUCCCUCAUCCAACCUCAGCCCUCCAGUGUUCCCCUAGAGCUCAGAAGUUUUUCAGCACAACCUAGGGCCAUGGUGUGGCAGGGGAAGUUGUUGAAGAGAAGCAGCGUUUUCUAAGGGGGCAUUGGAUCACACUUCUCAAUAUAUCCAUUCAGGUCAGUCAGAGCUGGGGGGCAGGAGCAACAGUGUUUCCUUCCCCUGGAGGGAUUCCAAGGCCCAGGUGGUCAAUGGAGGAUAAAAGCAUAAGAAUUAAAGAACAAGUCAGGGGUGGGAGUUGUGGCAUAGUGGGUUAAGCCACUUGGGAUGUCCACAUCCCCUAUCAGAGUAUCUGGGAUUAAGUCCUACCUCUGCGUCUGAUCCAGAUUCCUAUUGAUGUAAACCCUGGGAGUCCUACAUGAUGACUCAAGUACUGGUUCCUCCCAGCCAGCCUCAUAGGAGAUCUGGAUGGAGUUCCUGGCUUCUGACUUUGACCUGCCAUAACUGGGUGUUGUAGAUCUCUCUCUCUCUCUCUCUCUCUCUCUCUCUCUCUCUCUUUCUCCUUCUUUCUCUGUCACUCUACCUUUCAAAUAAAUAAAAAUGAAUAAAACAAAAUUUUUAGAAGAGUAGGCUAUAUAUUAUGGUGGUGACUUUUUCAAUCAACAAAACUAUAUUUUAUGCUGACCUGCCGUGACUUCAGUUUACUUCAAAUAAUAAAAUUGCAGAGCCUACAUAAUACAGCAUACAGCCCAGUUCCUUGCCUUAAGGUCUUCCAUUCAGAGUGGGGAGCUAGAAAAUGCACAGGGGAAGUCCCUGGCCAUGGUAGGUUCUGCACACUCUGUCACACACUGGUGUUGAUGGUAGAUGUCAGAAGAAUGAAUGACCAUUGUGGCAGCAGGCCUGAAUCCAUCUCUCUACUGGAAGAGGAGGCUUUUGAGAGAGGCUGAGACUUAGGGAAACAGUCAAAAGGAGAUACAUGCAGAGAAAACACCAAAGGAAAAGCACAAAGCUAGGUCUAAGUUAGAUACUGUUGGACAAAGUCAUGUUGGCUGGCUGGAGUUCAAAGUAUCCUGGGAGGAGACUAAUGAGGGAAGUGGGGUUGGGCCCAUGGCAGCACAAAGAAUAAGGACUUUGUUCAGUAAGCAAGCAAAAUUCAGACCUGGGGAACUCUGGCAGGGUCAAACUGAGCAUGAUGCUUUCUGUUGGCAAAUCACAUCAGGUAACUGGGGAAAAGUGUUCUGACUUAUGGCUCUCUGAAAGAAUGGCUUGAACCUAGGGUAGGGCUUGCUAAGGGUGGCAUGUCCACAGAUAACUGGAGGAUGUUAAAUAAAAUGCAGGUAACAGGAAAGCACUGAGAGUCAACCUCAGAUAGGCUGGUGCAAUGACCAGUAGGGUGAAUUCUGAAUGCGUGAGGGACAGGUGGAUGUCACUACUUUGGGUUGCCCAUUUGGGUGGCCAACUCAGGGAUGUGGGUUCAGGAACAAGGAUUGACACACUGAACUAGCGUCUAGAACAGACUGUGCCUAUAUCUGAGUUCAAGAAAUUUGUCUGGAAUUCAGCUCAAAAUCUGGAUGAUUCAGAAGGUCCACUUAUCAAAACUGUAUGAGAAAUUUUUAUUCUGAUGAUAGCUACCAUUUAUUGGACUCUCAUGUUCAGGGUACAAUAUGUAUGUGAACUUCUAAGUUCAUGAUCUUAUACUUCAAGAAACUGUUCAGAGAGGUUGAGUGGCUUGCCCAGUGUCACACAGCUGGCAAGCAGAUGGCGAGACUAGGGCUCAGUCCUUGUGCAGCUAGCAUCAAAGCCCUUGCUCCCUCCCUCACGCAUACUGUGGGUGAAUAGGUUUCCAGAUGUUGUGUUCACAGAGAAGCAUCUGUGCAUAUUUUCAUCCCAAUCAUCCUAUAUUUGACUUCUUAAUCCAUACAUGAGGAAUACAACACAGUCCUGGUUAUAUUUCCUUGCUUUGGCCUAAUACGGGAAUACCAGGCUGCAUUUGAAUACUAGGCAGACUGGAGCUGCUUCUCAGAGCUUUGAGCAGGAGUUCAAUCAGUGGUCUCCAUUUGUAUCCAUGAAUCUGAUGCCACUACUGUUUGGCUGAAUUUUUCUGUAGUUGCCCAACUAUCUUGUGCUAGUAUCUACUGUAAUAUUUAAGGUUAAUUUUCAUAUAGGAAAAUGUCAUCAUUUCAAGCAGAAAUCCCUCUUUUAAUUUUAUAGCUUUUUCUGCACCCAGGCCUUUUGGUUCACAAUAUUCAUUGUGAGGAGUAAAAGCAUGCAUGUGUGUAUAAGCAUGUACAUGUGCUUACAUGAAGGUGUACACACACACACACACACAUUCAACCUUUGUUAUUGGAAAAGAGCAAGCAGGAAUAGGGAGUGGGACUUGGUCAGUCCCACAAAAACCUCUGCCCGUCUGAUGAGGCCCCUGGGGAGGCCAUGCUGAGGGGUGGGGCACCAGGGUGGAGGAGGGCUGCCCCCUGACCUUUCCACCCAGGAUUCUGGCACCAAAUUUUACAUUCCAGGCAUCCUCUCGGAGGGCACUGCUUGGGGUAUGAGCCUGCUCACAUCAGGCCGGGAAAUUUCAUCCAUAUGUUUCUGAUUCAUUUACACUCAUAAAAAUGUGAUUUUUAAGAGCAAUGUGACAUGCAAUAAGCUUUCUAGGCUGUCUCUCCUGCUCUGUGUCUCUGUUCAGUGGAGAAUUUUGCCAAAAGAAAACCAAUUCAGACUGCAAGCUCCUCAACCCCAGAGGCAGAAACGGCAGCGAGGCACAUCCAGAGAGCCCCAGCCAGCAUGAGGCGACUCCCAACAAUACACCAUCAGGCUGAAACUGUGCCUGAGAUCUGGCUUCUGCUGUUCCCCGGGGAGCCCCAGUUCAAUAUCCCAAUGAUAAUGAUGGCUUUCUUUCCUUGCUAUUUUUAUUUUCUCUAUUUCUCAUCCUUUCAUUGGCUCUUAUUACCCUAGGAACAUUGAUUCUUCAGCUCUGCUUACCUCUCCCAAUACUUUGCAGGCAUUAUUGUAUCCUUGUUCCUUCAGAUUAGCCUGUCUUGAGCCAAUCCAUUUACUUCCUUUUUUUUUUUUUUAUUUUAUUAACGGAGAUGUUGCAAAUUGCCUGAAAAUAGUGGAGCUCUGUUUCAUUUUCAAGUCCUUAUUGUGUUUUGGGCUAUUUGGCUCAAGGUCUGUGUCUCUUGGCCUCCAAUGAGUUUACCUUGCUCUGCCAUUAUAGUACACCCAGUCUAUUGUGUUUGUCUUUCUUGUUUAAUUGCAUGUUCCUGUUUGGUUUUCCUCUUUGCUGCUCUUAGAGAGAAAAGAACUGAGCAAUGCUGCUCUAUCUUAAAGGAAAGUUAGAAGCUUUGGAGGGUCCCAGAUCUGUGGAUUAAUUCUGAUCUCACCACUUCCUGGGCUUCAGUUUCCUAUUCUGUCUGGUGAAGAGUCAUCUCUCAGAGUUGCUGUAAGGAUUUAAUAAGAUUGUAUCAUACGUGGCCCUGGGUCCACAUGGACUAGCAUAGUUGCCCAGCACAGAGGGGCCAUCUCAUGUUGUUGGAGUCCAUGCCCUUCGGCUCAAAGCCAUGGGCACAAACCUCCUGUUAGCAAGUCAGGUGUACCACGUAGUGCAGUGAAGAAAACUCAUGCCCUGGGGAUCCAUGGGCAGCUCAGUAACAAGAUGUUCAAAGGAGCAUCUUAUAGGAUGUCACUUUCAGCUAAGUGAUUUGGUAGCAGGUGAGGGGGAUGCUAUGGAAGUGGGUCUGAUGCUGUUGAAAAGUUGGGGAUAAUUCUGGUUGGGUAUCUUUUUUAAAAAAUGGUUAAAAGGCUUAUUUAUUUAUGCAAAAGGCAGAGUUACAGAGAGGGAGAGGCAGAGGCAGAGAGAAGUCUUUCAUCUGCUGGUUCACUUCUCAAGUGGCCACAAUAGAGCUGGCCCAGGCUGAAGCCAGGAGCCAGGAGCUUCCUCUAGGUCUCUCACGUGGGUGGAGGGGCCCAAGGACUUGGGCCAUCUUCUGCUGGUUUCCCAGGCACAUUAUCAGGGAUCUGGAUUGGAAGUAGAGCAGCUGGAUCCUGAACCAGUGCUUAUAUGGAGUGCUGGUGCUGCAGGUGGCAGCUUAACCCCCUAAACCACAGCUCUGGCCCCCGAUUGGAUAUCUGAAAUAAAACUGAUCCAAAAAAAGAGCGACUAGAAUGAGGAUAAAACUGUAAUUGGUGAAUAAGGACUAGUCAUGUGUUUUGGCACAAAUUUGAGAGUGUUUGGUUUUGUGCAUGGCAUAAUGACAUUGCUUGUCUGUCCUUAGACACAGUUGUGAAGUGUAUCUUACUUUGUCUUCUUUUCCAUGAUCUCAAAGUAUGAGUGUUUUGUGAAUUGUGAAUUGUUCAUGUCCAGUGGCACAGUAGCAUAGUCCAGCUAUGAGUGCCAGGCCAGUUUUGGAAUGUGAGUUACUUUUCUUUUUUUUUCUAAACAAGCUUCUCUUCUUCUAUCUCUAUGUUAGAGGGAAAGCAAGCUGGUGAGCUGACCAGUUUGCCUGUGAAGAAGUCAAAUUAGAGUAUGAGCAGUUCACAUGUCCCAGUGGCUGGGACAGGGCAUACAGAGGGACAGAACAUCACAGCAGCUGUAGAGUACAGAGCAGUCUAGCAGCUGGAGGGGGAAGCUGAGCUCAGUCUGCACAUGCUGGAUCCAAGCUGAGUGGAGGAGACCAACAAAAGGUUGAAAACCCCUACAGACAAACAGCAGACAUAGGGAGAUAAAGUGAGAGGCCUUAGGGGAUGGAACCUUGGACAAGCUUUAUGAAGCACAGGAACAGAGAGGCAAGGACUUUAUUAGAUGUCUUUGCCUCAUCUAAUCAUGAGAUGAAACUCUUCACAAGGCUGAAUCAAUAUGGAUAAAGAUGACUAUUAAGAAACCACAGGGGCGUGGCCGGUGCCGUGGCUCACUAGGCUAAUCCUCCACCUUGUGGCGCCGGCACCCCGGGUUCUAGCCACGGUCGGGGCGCUGGAUUCUGUCCCAGUUGCCCCUCUUCCAGGCCAGCCCUCUGCUAUCGCCCGGGAAUGCAGUGGAGGAUGGCCCAAGUACUUGGGCCCUGUACCUGCAUGGGAGGCCAGGAGAAGCACCUGGCUCCUGGCUUCGGAUCACCGCGAUGUGCAGAGCGCCGGCCGCGGCAGCCAUUGGAGGGUGAACCAACGGCAAAAGGAAGACCUUUCUCUCUGUCUCUCUCUCUCUCACUGUCCACUCUGUCUGUCAAAUACAUAAAAAAGAAAGAAGGAAAGAAGGAAAGAAGGAAAGAAAGAAAGAAACCACAGGGGCCAGAGCUGUGGCGUAGUGGGUCAAACAACCUUCUGCAGUGCUGGCAUCCCACAUGGGCACUGGUUCUAGUCCCAGUUGCUACACUUCCAAUCCAGCUCUCUGCUAUGGUUUGGGAAAGCAGUAGAAGAUGGCCCAAGUCACUGGUCCCCUGCACUAGCGUGGGAGACCUGGAAGAAGCUCCUGGCUCCUGGCUUCAGAUCAGUUCAGCUCCAGACUUUGCCGUUAUUUGGGAGUGAACCAGCAGAUGGAAGACUUCUCCCUCUCUUUCUGCCUCUGCCUCUCUGUAACUCUGACUUUCAAGUAAAUAAAUAAAAUCUUUAAAAAAAACCCUUUUCCCCUCUGAAGUAGAUGAUGUUUCUCCCUAAUACUCUAAGUUGCCAUUUAAUGGUGAGGGAGGGUUGACCAGAUGAUUGAUAUUCUUAAAUGUGAUCUGUUUGUUUGCUACUCCCCCUAAAACACAUUUAUUAGGAUUAAUACAUUAUGAUAUUUAUGCUUCUGGAUGGCUAUCCUGAUUUUACUGAAAGGUUGGUGUUGGUGAGAAAUCUUUCCCACCCUAAAUCAUAAAGAUGACUUCUCUCACCUUUAGCAAGUCUCAGAGUUUCCUAGUCAAUCUGCUGCAAUGGUUUGAUUGUGAUUUGUCCCCAAAGAUUCUUGUACAUUGGUCCCCAGUGGUAGCAAUGUUGGGGUGGCAGAGCCUGUAAUGGGUUGGGCCUCUCCUUGCAAUUUUUCCCUUGUGCAUGGGGCUGUUUCUCUUUCUGCUUGCCUGCCUGCCUUCCUUCUUUCCUUCCUUCCUUCCUUCCACGAUUUAUUAGUUUUAUUUGGAAAGAAUUAGAGAGAAAGAGAGGGAGAGACAGAAAGGUCUUCUAUCCACUGGUUCACCACCAGACACCCCUCCACCACACCAGAUGGCUACCAUAGCCAGGGUUGAGCCAGGCUGAGGCAAGGGGCCAGGGGCUUCUUAUGGGUCUCCCACAUGGGUGGCAGGGGUCCAAGCACCUGGGCCAUCCUCUGCUGCUUUUCCCAGACCACCAGCAGGGAGCUGUAUUGGAAGUGGAGCAGCUGGGACACAAACUAGCACCCGUAUGGGAUGCUGGAAUUGCAGGAGACAGCUUUACCCACUAUACUAUUUUUUUUGUUGACAGUCAGAGUAGAACAGUGAGAGAGAGACAGAGACAGAGAGAAAGGUCUUCCUUUUUCUGUUGGUUCACCCCCCAAGUGGCCACUACGGCCAGCGUCUUGUGGCCGGUGCACUGCGCCGAUCUGAAGCCAAGAGCCAGGUGCCUCCUCCUGGUCUCCCAUGUGGGUGCAGGGCCCAAGCACUUGGGCCAUCUUCCACUGUCUUCCCAGACCACAGCAGAGAGCUGGACUGAAAGAGGGGCAACUGGGACAGAAUCCAGUGCCCCAACUGGGACUAGAACCCGGGGUGCCAGCGCCGCAGGUGGACGAUUAGCCUAGUGAGCCAUGGCGCCGGCCCCCCACUAUACUGCAAUGCCAGCCCCUCUCUUUCUGAUUUUCCACCAUGUUGUAAAGCAGUCAAGGAGAUCUUUGCUAGGAUGCUGGCACCAUAUUGUUUGGACCCUCCAACCACUAGAAGUAUGAGUCUAAUAAACUUCUGUACUCUGUAAGUUACCCAGUCUCAUGUAUUUAGUUAUAGUAACACAAAAUGUACUAAGACACCUAUUAUGUUCUCAAAGGAUACAGCUAUUUCUUCUCUACAUGAGUCAUAAUUUAUCAUCUCCUUGGUAUGCCUGCAACUGGAAUUUAUUUUUCUUAAGUUCAAUGGCAAGAAUUGUUCUUUUCUUGGCCCACCUAUAGUCAACGCUGACUGUUCCUAUUCUGGGCAGAAAAGACAGUAAGUAGGCCACUUCUGGCUCCAACAUCCUGUGAGCCAGUGUCUGCCUUAGUUUCUCUACAAGUUUUUAGUUUUUUUCUAGAUUAUUAAUUUUAUUUCUGAUAAAUAAGCCAUGUUGAUUUUUCUGAUACUUACUAGACAACAUGGAAUUCCAUUAGCCUGCUUCUUCAAAUCUUUCUUGCCUAUUAGAUUUCUUGUCUACUGUGAGAAAAUUGGUCCUUGAUCUCAAAUCACUGAUUUGCAAUGACCACCAACUUCAAGACCUAAUCUUAAUCUUGAGUGAGUUCUGUACCUCCCCUAGUUCAGCCCAACUUCUCUUCUUGAGUGCCUACACUCACCAACAACAUCGUGCCAAUGAGAAUGAGGGAGAAGAAGAGAAUAUGUCUAGUAGAUCAUGAUCUGUACUAUAGAACAUCCUGAUUGGGGGAGGGGCAGCCCUGUUGGAAGGUUUUCUGGUUUGUCAUGAGAACUUAAAGUGGUUCUCAAGUAUGAUAUGCAUUCUCCAUUCUACAAGCAGAGUGAGCUUUGAAACAAAACUGCAACCCUGUAUUCCUACUUCAAAUCCAUCACUGGUUCUAACUGAUUGUGGAACGAAGCUCUAAUUCUAAAGUGUGAGCUCACCUCUCUGGUCUACUCUUGAAUAACUAAAUGGACACAAGUCAUCCUGAGACUUAUCUUCUUCCUCUGUACAAUGGGAAUGGCAUUACUUGCCCAUCCUCUUCUGCAGUGAGGAUGAAAUGUCAUCAGACAUAUAAAAUAUAAACUGCUUUCAGAAGUAAGGAACGAUAAUCCACUGUGCAAUACAUAUCUGUUGAGUGGAUGAAUGGGUUGCUUCUGUUACUUUCUUCCCCUUUGAGGCCCACCAGAUGGGGAAGGAGGCAGAGCCGGAGGGGAGAUCAUUUCUAGCCCCUUGAAUAUGAGGCGAUUCUGACACACAAUCUGGGACCAGUAUGUUUAGCCCUGGCUUUCCUUCUCUUCAAGUGUCUUUAUUGUAUCCAUCCAUAAAUCCAGCUGUGGAAGAACCACUUCAAAAAAGCUGUCCUCAGCAUAUAUCACCACCCCCCGAGGAGGGGAUGUUCUGUGAAAUUAAAGAAAUAAGUAUAGAUUUUUCUAGAAGGGGAGAAAAAGGAAGGACUUUCACUUUUAUUCAAUUAUCACUUCAGCAGCUGUCUACACGACUUGGAAAAUGCCCUCACAUCUCUCAGUGGAUUCUCCGUUGUCAAAAUCCCCCCUUCUCACUGGCUGACAGAGACGGGGUUUAGUGCCAACAGCAUUUGAUGCUGAAAUGCAGACCAGGGACGACAUGGAACUCUCUUACUCCACAUUCAUCUCUUCAUUAUUUCUGACAUAGAUAUUACAACGUCGUCACAGAUUUAAUAGAGGAUAAUGGGAAUACAGUUCUAAAGCAUUAGGUGUGAUCUCGAGUGACUGUAGUCUAAACUUUUAAUAUAAAGCAGAUAUUCUGCAUGCGAAGGUAAAUGAGCAGAAAUCCAGCCUCACACAAUGGACAUCACAAAGGCAUCACCUUCACAAUAGGGAGUGAGAAAUGAACUUUUCAUUCCUGGAUAUGAUUGACAGCUUUUUGUGUCCAUUCAUGGCUGCACAAAUCCUGGUGUCAUAGCAAAGAACAUGAAAAAUUUUUCUAACAGCUGUGAUGGAGACUUUGAGGCAUGAAGUUAUAGAAGUUUGAAGUCAAUUGUUUCCAAAAAUGCAGAGCAAAAUGAAAUAAUUUUGCACCUUGCUGUUAGUCAAGAUGUUUUCUUCCAAGGCGCCUUUUUUUUCUACCCAGUGGUAUCUGCAUGAUAUAUAUCUUUCCAACAGCCACAGGUGUUAGGUAGCUGUUCCAAGGAUUUCUCUGUAAAUGUUUCCAGCAGGGCUCCAUUAAACUAAAGAAACAGGAUAAAAACCACGGAAGUUGCCCGACUUCCCAGCUCCUGGCCACUCUGGUGUCCUGGAACUAACUUACCUUUCAUCUGUUUUUCCUUCUCUUUUUGCCUUUCAUGUAAAUUUUACAUCUGGACAUUCCCUCUUUUCCCAAUUUCCUCUGGGAUUAGGGAUUCACAUCUGACUCUACUGGUCUCUAACUUCACUGCUAUUCCCUUGACUUGAUUUUUCCCAAAUCAGUCUCCCUGACCCUCAUUAAAUGUGAUAUGCAGCACCCAUUGCCCACUCCUGGGUCUCCUAGCACCCCUCCCAGGUGACUGGGAGCCCUGCAUGUCCUUCUGGGGGAUCAAGGGUUGAGCCCUGGGGAGAGAAAGAUAAGGUCCAGGCCAGCACCGCGGCUCAAUAGGCUAAUCCUCCACCUAGUGGCGCCAGCACACCGGGUUCUAGUCCCGGUCGGGGCACCGGAUUCUUUCCUGGUUGCCCCUCUUCCAGGCCAGCUCUCUGCUGUGGCCCAGGAAGGCAGUGGAGAAUGGCCCAAGUGCUUGGGCCCUGCGCCCCAAAGGAGACCAGGAGAAGCACCUGGCUCCUGCCUUUGGAUCAGCGCGGUGCGCCGGCCGCAGCGCGCCAGCCAUGGUGGCCAUUGGAGGGUGAACCAACGGAAAAAGGAAGACCUUUCUCUCUGUCUCUCUCUCUCACUAUCCACUCUGCCUGUAAAAAAAAAAAAAAAAAAAAAGAUAAGUUCCAUGAUAUAUGGAUAGAAACUGGUGCUCACAAAAGUCUUAGGAGUAGACCAGGAGCCAGUAACUCCAUCAUAGUCUCCCAUGUGGGUUGCAGGGGUCCAAGUACUUGGGCCAUGUGUCAUUGCCUUCCCAAGUACAUUAGCAGGAAGCUGGAUCAAAAGCAGAGUAGUUGGGACUUGAGCCAGUGCUGUGAUAUGGGAUGGCUGCAUCACACAGCAGGGGUCAAGCAGCUGUGCACAAUGCUCACCCAUAAAAAGGGUAAAAUAUUGAAACUACAAGAAAAUAUACUGUCAUAGGGAAAAAGCAAGAGGAAGAGGGAGGGGGAAGAAGGAAUAAAAGAAAGAAGGAAGGAAGAGAGGUAGGGAGGUGGAGGGAGGAUGGAAGGAAAGAAAUAAGAAGAAAAAAACCCAACAUUUGCAAAAUUAUCGUGGACUAUCUCAAAAUGAUUUUUGCAAAUCCAUGUGCUCUGUAAUAGAACUGUAAUGGAUUUAGUAAGCUUGCAAGUUUGUAAUGGAUCAAUUUCCCAUCUAUUUUUACAAUAAAAAUAGUUCAUAAAUCAGUAUUUCCUAUGAUGCUGUUGAAUUUCAUUUUUAUUUUCUGAGAGGAAUGGAUUCAACUAUGAACUUAUGGGAAAAAUAAACCAAUUGUCUAACACUGGACUGGUGAAUCCAAGCUGCAGAAACACUUUGUUUUUGUAAUUGCCCUAUUCCACUGAACACUCAAGGCUUGCUAGUAAAAAAUACUAGUGAGCGAAGAAGUGAAGAAAUUUAGAUUCAAAGGAGUAGAAGCAGAAAGAGUAGACAAGAUUGUGUUAAGAUGUUAUGGGCAUGAGGUAUAUGGGGACUCUUUGCACAAUUCUACAAUUUUUGUUUUGUAAAUUGAAAGCUAUUUAGAAAUAAAAAGUUAAAAUAAAGACUGGGUCCAAGCCAGGAGAGUUGUUACUGAUCUGAAAGCCUUGAUGGUGUCAUUGUAAUGAUUACUGUUUACUUGGCUCUUAUUCAUGCCAAGUCAUUUACAUGGUAUUUUUAAUUUUUUACAGUAAUGAUGCAAUGUUACUAGUAUUCCCACAUUUUGGGUUAGGUGCAAGAGUGGGAGUAAUUUAUCUAUGAUUAAAAAGUUUCUGUCAGGCUGGCGCCAUGGCUCACUAGGCUAAUCCUCCGCCUGCGGUGCCAGCACCCCAGGUUCUAGUCCCGGUUGGGGCUCCAGGUUCUGUCCCGGUUGCUUCUCUUCCAGGCCAGCUCUCUGCUGUGGUCCCGGAGCGCAGUGGAGGAUGGCCCAAGUGCUUGGGUCCUGCACCCGCAUGGGAGACCAGGAGGAAGCACCUGGCUCCUGGCUUCGGAUCGGCGCAGCGCGCCCGCUGUAGCAGCCAUUUGGGGGGUGAACCAACAGAAGGAAGACCUUUCUCUCUGUCUCUCUCAUUGUCUUUAACUCUGUCAAAUAAAAAAAAGAUUUAAAAAAAUAAAUAAAAAGUUUCUGUGAUGGGCAAUUUCCAACAAGCCUUUCAACAAUCUCUUCUUCUGGUAUAUAGCCUUCCCUUGCGUAUGGGGUGGGUCAGUGACUUGUACUAAACAGUUAAUAUGACAAACGUGAUGGGAUGUUACUUCCACAACUAUAUAUAAUUUCUAUUCUGGUGCUCUCUCUCAUUGUGAUGAAGCCAGCCACCAUGCUGGGGGCUGGCCUAUGGAGCAGCCCAUGUGGUAAGGAACAAGGGAGGUGUGUUAGUCAAUUUCUCAUUACUUUACCUGAAAUUCUGGAAGGAGAAACUCAAAAAGGAAUAUUGCUUAUUUCAGCUUACAGUUUGAAGGUUCACAGUCUGAGAUUGGGUGGCCCCAUGAGAAUGGCAGCUGGACAUGGCAGAACAUGUGUGGAGGAGCACAAGGUGAGCCAGGAAGCAGAGAGAUAUGGAGAGUACAUUCUUCCCUUACAACAAUGUGUCACCCUUUAUAUAGCCACAAUAAUUCCAUCACUGGUCUCCACUCCCACAACCUAAUCCUAUCUAAUCACUUUCCAAAGCUCUAUAUUCAAACAUUGCAAUUUGAUUAUGUUCCAACAUUAAUGCAUUAACAUAUGACUCUGGAAACCAAGAUUUUAACACACGGGCCUUUGGGAGACACUAAAGUUACUUUUCAAACCAGAACAGGAGGCCUCCAGCUAAAAUCUUACAACAUCUCACUGAAAGAACACUCAAGGAACUGAAUUCAUCAGAAAGCCACAUGAGUGUACCUGUUGAGCCUUUAGCUGAGACCUCAGCCCCAGCCAAUACCUUGAUGGCAGCCUGUGAGUGCUCCUGGGCCAAGGGCACCCAAUUAAGCUGUGCCAGAUUCCUAACCCACACAAAAAUAUGAGACAAUAAAUGUGUACCCUUUUAAUUUGCUGUGCUAGGGAGUUAAUUUAUUAU